UGGGGAAUCUUGGACAAUGGGCGCAAGCCUGAUGCAGCAACGCCGCGUGCGGGAAGACGGCCCUAGGGUUGUAAACCGCUUUCAGGAGGGAAGAAAAUGACGGUACCUCCAGAAGAAGGUGCGGCCAACUACGUGCCAGCAGCCGCGUGACACGUAGGCACCAAGCGUUAUCCGGAUUUAUUGGGCGUAAAGAGCUCGUAGGCGGUUCGGUAAGUCGGGUGUGAAAUCCAAGGCUCAACCUUGGGACGCCACCCGAUACUGCUGUGACUCGAGUGCAGUAGGGGAGCAGGGAAUUCCUGGUGUAGCGGUGAAAUGCGCAGAUAUCAGGAGGAACACCAGUGGCGAAGGCGCUGCUCUGGGCUGUAACUGACGCUGAGGAGCGAAAGCAUGGGUAGCAAAACAGGAUUAGAUACCCUGGUAGUCCAUGCCGUAAACGUUGGGCACUAGGUGUGGGUCUCAACCAACGAGAUCCGCGCCGUCGCUAACGCAUUAAGUGCCCCGCCUGGGGAGUACGGUCGCAAGACUAAAACUCAAAGG
This 537-nucleotide ribosomal RNA is filed under the name uncultured bacterium. Its description in RNAcentral is "bacterial SSU rRNA". It matches the Rfam family "Bacterial small subunit ribosomal RNA", at positions 355 to 907 of the family's 1533-position model. The record is from RNAcentral.